UUCCUCUUUACCAUGUUUACAAUUCAACUGAAUAGCAUGUCUAUUUGUAGAUCUCUCACUCGUCUUGGUUAGAUAUUGCAGAUUUUUUUUAUAUUUCACGAAAGAGACAACAAAUUACAUUUUUUACAUCCAUGAAAUACAAUUUUUUAACUGAAAUCCUUUUUGAAGCUCCUAUUCUAAGAAUAUUCACAAAUCUCCGAACUGCUGAUAUCAUGUAUAUUUGGAAUUCAUUUUAACUGAGGUAAAAAAAUCAACUUUAAUAAUGAUGAAAAUUAAUAUUCCUUGUUUUUUCAGCAUCAAAACACUAAAUUCCAAUUCAUUUGGUCUUGAAACAUUCAAUGCUUCUGCUUAGUACGGUACAUUAUGUAGAAUUGCUGUCUUUUUUCUAUUUUUCACGGACAUAUGUAGCUUUCUAAACAAAUUUUAAUCAGAUCUUCCAUAAUCAUGAUAAUGGCCAUGAUGAGUUAUAAGUAACUUUUAACUGGUGUCUGACUGCAGGUCUA
RNAcentral lists this long non-coding RNA (503 nucleotides) under Mytilus galloprovincialis (Mediterranean mussel). The record is from RNAcentral. Lineage: Eukaryota; Metazoa; Mollusca; Bivalvia; Mytilida; Mytilidae.